This is a long non-coding RNA of Rosa rugosa (rugosa rose), 2756 nucleotides long. RefSeq lists it as uncharacterized. NCBI's taxonomy places the organism in Eukaryota, Viridiplantae, Streptophyta, Magnoliopsida, Rosales, Rosaceae. The record is from RefSeq and is a predicted model, not a curated record. The transcript has 4 exons.
CUGCUGUGCGUCGAUCUAAUCUUCUACAGUCGGCUAUUGCUGUGUAAAUGAUUUUAGCUUCUUCUCCAGUUCUCCACUCACCAAUCCGCAAAAGAACAACAACCCAAAAGCAAAAACAAACAGAGAGAAAUACAGAAAGAGAAACCUGAAGCCCUCCUUUUUGGACAUCACGAUUUUCUUCAUUAUCAAAGUAUUUUGAAGGCUAUUGAUCUUGAAGAAGACCUUGAUUCUGAGCCUAUUUGCCUUUUAAUUUCUGAGCUGUUAGUUCUUUCUGCUUUUCACGGAAGACCCUAGACCCUAUUUCUUGACUUCAUUUCUGCUUCUGAAUUUCUGAUUAAUAUCAAUUCCAACCAGAGAAAUAAGUAUUGUCGGUCUCAAUUCUGACGGAGGAAGAAGCAGCUCUAAGCGACUCAGGGUACGUAGGAGUAGAAGACAGACUGUGACUAAAGUCACAGACCCAUGUUUAGUUUUUGACUGUGAAUAUUAACUGAUGGCCGAUUGUGAUCACGGAGUAAUUUCUUUUGUGGCUGUGGUGCAGACCAGAUUUGAGGUGGAUCGAACAAGCUGCUCACUAUCUGAUAUUCAAGUGUCAAGGAAAGUAAGCAUGUCUAAAAUUUCACAGGAUACCAUCUUCCGUUAGUAUAGAUAUAACUAGAAGAGAUUAGAUUCUGCUGUAGGCCGUUACUGAGGAAACAAGUCUGCAUUAAAAUUGAAUAUAAAAACUAAUGAUAGUGAAAGUGCCUAAACCAAACUGUAUUGAGUCUUAAUACCAAAUCAAAUGAAUCUCUAAUUCUCUCUAUCUACCAAAAAAGUAAAUAAAUCAAAUCAGCGUCUGCAGCUGGGAUUUGUUUUAUAGAUAAGAUGUUUGGUGGUCUGGGAAUUAAAGGGACAACACAAGACAAGACAAAUUUAUUUUGAUUAUUGUUAGCAGCCAUUUGUCUCAGUGCUAUUUGUUUGCUACAUUCUACUGAACAAUCUGAUGUUCUUGAGUUGAAAAUCUAAUUAGGCUGUAAUCAUAAGCCAUGUUUUUAUAUUUUGCAAUGCUAUUUUAUCUGCUACAUUCUACUGAACAAUCUGAUGUUCUUGAGUUGAUUAAUUUAGUUUAUUCCUUUCGAGCUUCAUUCUUUUCUCAGUGUAUAUACUCAUUCACUGCUCUCUUUUUUUGUCCUGUUUUUCAUUUAUGAUAAGAUUUUUUUCUAUCUACAUAUAUUCACUUAUCACCCUUUUUUCUCUUUUCAUUCUGUUUUGUGUUUAUGUUUUUUUUUUUUUCACUCAUACAUAUUAUAGGGUAGUAAUGUACUGAAAGAUAUAUUGUAGCUAUUGAAUGAACUGUCAUUACAUGGCUCCUUUUUAUAGCUUGGGUUAUAGAGUAUUCACUUAUUUACUGGUUUUCUCAAUUGAAGCUCUCUCAAUACUUUGCAUGUUUUUGUACAAUGUACAGUAAUGAGAAACUUUAAUUCAGGAACGAAUUUGAGACUUAGGAUUUAGGGUCAUUAUACAGGAACUGAAACUCUGAGCCUAACUUUUCUAUUUUUAGAUAUCAUGCAAUCUAUUUAGGGUCCAAUCACUAUUACAUUGGUUUCUUUUACAGUCCGCAGAUUAUUAAACUCUGGAAAUCAUUUUUUCCUUUCUAUUUAGUUUUUGUUGUCAAUUUAGUUAUAUCUCUGCAUUUACCUUUAUGGUUUGUGUGUGAAUUUCAUUGUUGUUUUCUUUGGCUUUUUCAGAUCUGACCUUCAAAUAAAAAAGCUUCUGUUUUUUGCUGCUGUUGAUUUGUUUUCAGCUUCUUUUUUUUUUUUUUUUUCCUUUUUGGUCAUGGCCUUUGUUCAACUUCUCUAUAGUCAGAUUCUUAUUUACACUAAAUGCAUAACGUUUUACCUGUUUUUUCCUCCGACUUUGGGUAAAUGAUGUUCCAUGAAAUAUGGUUAAAGUGAGUAUCUGUCUCCUCUUUUGCAUAUUUCAGGAUUGAGAAAAGGUCGUUUUUAUGUUUGAAUGGCUGGAGUUGUAUCAUUCAGAUAAUGUAACUGCAAAGACUUAUGUCCUUGGUGAGUGAUGCAAAGGCUGUAAAAUCCCUUACAGCAGCAAUAAUGUAUAGCCACACCCUAUAAAAGUAAUUACUGAACUUCGCAUAGUAAUACGUUGGAUUGUUUAGGAACAUCAUUUACUGAACUUCGCAUAGUAAUGUAUAGCCAGCUCUGUGUAUAAGUAUCAUAUGAUUUUGUGAAUUACAAUUUGUGUUUGUUUAACAAAUUCACCAAGCUGUUUCAGUUAUAAAGAGUUGCAUAUUUAUCCAUUUGGUCAUGUUAUUCCUUUUGAGUCCUGUGAAAUACACUUCUUGCUAAAUCAUUUGCUAAUUAGUUGACAUUUUGUUUGGUUAUGCCAUGUAGACGAAUAAUGAAAUGAAAGUGGCUGAAUUGGAAGCUAAACUUGGUAUUGAGAUAAGCAAAAUUGAAGCCCUUAUUUACUGGCAAGUCAUCCAAGCUACUAACAUUUUGGCGACCAAAUUUGAUUUGCUCAGCGUGAUUUCUUCCCAUGUCGCAGAAAAGAAAAAGGGAUUAUGUUUUAAAUAUUUUAGAGCAUGGCACCAAUGACUUAUGAAAAAAGGAACUAUUAAUAUGUAAAAGGUUUUUAGUUACCAUUUAUAUUUGUUCCAAGAGUGAUUGUCAAUAAGAAUACACAAUAUUCUUAUAAUCCCACUGGUCUGUCUGAUAAUGUCAAUGCAUUACUAUAAAACCCGCCGCAACGCGCGGGCUGCUAUU